This 213-nucleotide long non-coding RNA is filed under the name Setaria viridis. RNAcentral describes it as "long non-coding RNA (SVIR_LNC008918)". Lineage: Eukaryota; Viridiplantae; Streptophyta; Magnoliopsida; Poales; Poaceae. The record is from RNAcentral.
AUCAAUAACCUUUUGAGAAAUUUUGUUGAAGAAGUAACACAACCGAGUGAUAACCAUUUUCACAUAUACAGGCUUAAUUGCUCUAAUUACUAUUGGAAGGAACAACGUCAGCAUCACAUGACAAUCAUGACAGUUGUAGCCGGUAGCGAGAGAUCUUUCAUCAAGACUAGUUUCCUGAUGUUGGAUGAGAAUCGACUUGGUACUCUAAUCCCC